This 612-nucleotide ribosomal RNA is filed under the name Triticum aestivum (bread wheat). Its description in RNAcentral is "partial small subunit ribosomal RNA". The record is from RNAcentral. Lineage: Eukaryota; Viridiplantae; Streptophyta; Magnoliopsida; Poales; Poaceae.
AUGACGCAGAUGAAGACUACUACCUUCGACAGCAGCUGCAGGAUCAAACGCCAACCGAAGAUUCCGACGAAGACGUUCUUAUUUAUUGUGAAACAACAGGUUGGAUCUCUGGUUUAUGGAAAAGACCACAUGGUUAUGAGGCCAAAGAAGACGUUCAGGCUAUGUCUUCGUAACGAGAGAUGGAGGAUUUUUGCCUGGAUUCAUGUGUGGUCGAUCAAUUCAUGGCCGGUUUAUAUAGAAAAUUACGGAAUUAUUGGAAAACUGUCACGCACAAUAAAGAGGGCAAUUGCAAAGUACAGAGAGCGCCGCUUUGAAACCGGAUUAUUUUAUUUCGUCCCAGACAAAAAACACUUGACAUUCACAGUCAGCAGUUACCUCUACGGAGAUGGUGAGUUCUUAAAAGAUCUGUGGAGGAAAAAGAGACUAGAGCGCAGCAUGAGAGAGAAAAACCAGGAGUUACACGAGUGUUCUACACGUGUUUUCGAAUCUUACGUAUCGGAAUAUAGAAAAAUUUCUUCCAUAGCCGUCAGAACAUUGAGAUUGUGUGGCAUGGGAUAUGUGUUUUACUUGAUGCUUGUAAUCUCCCUAGCUUUGGCGAUUGUAUACCUAUGA